This 467-nucleotide ribosomal RNA is filed under the name uncultured bacterium. RNAcentral's name for it is "partial 16S ribosomal RNA". It matches the Rfam family "Bacterial small subunit ribosomal RNA", at positions 28 to 523 of the family's 1533-position model. The record is from RNAcentral.
GAUGAAUGCUGGCGGCGUGCCUAACACAUGCAAGUCGAGCGGCAGCGCGAGUAGUUUACUACUUGGCGGCGAGCGGCGGACGGCUGAGUAACGCGUAGGAACGUGCCCCAAAGUGAGGAAUAACUGCCCGAAAGGGUAGCUAAUGCCGCAUAUGAUCUUCGGAUUAAAGUAUUUAUACGCUUUGGGAGCGGCCUGCGUCGGAUUAGGUAGUUGGUAGGGUAAUGGCCUACCAAGCCGACGAUCCGUAGCUGGUCUGAGAGGAUGAUCAGCCAGACUGGAACUGAGACACGGUCCAGACUCCUACGGGAGGCAGCAGUGAGGAAUCUUCCACAAUGGGCGAAAGCCUGAUGGAGCAACGCCGCGUGAAGGAUGAAGGCCCUCGGGUCGUAAACUUCUUUUAUAAGUGAAGAAUAUGACGGUAACUUAUGAAUAAGCACCGGCUAACUACGUGCCAGCCGCCGCCGUAA